AUUGAACGCUGGCGGCAUGCCUUACACAUGCAAGUCGAACGGUAACAGGGAGCUUGCUCCGCUGACGAGUGGCGAACGGGUGAGUAAUGUAUCGGAACGUACCAUUCAGUGGGGGGAUAACGUAGCGAAAGUUACGCUAAUACCGCAUAUUCUGUGAGCAGGAAAGCAGGGGAUCGCAAGGCCUUGCGCGGACGGAGCGGGCCGAUGGCAGAUUAGGUAGUUGGUGGGAUAAAGCUUACCAAGCCGACGAUCUGUAGCUGGUCUGAGAGGACGACCAGCCACACUGGGACUGAGACACGGCCCAGACUCCUACGGGAGGCAGCAGUGGGGAAUUUUGGACAAUGGGCGCAAGCCUGAUCCAGCCAUGCCGCGUGCAGGAUGAAGGCCUUCGGGUUGUAACUGCUUUGUACGGAACGAAAGACUCUUUCUAAUAAAGAGGUCAUGACGGUACCGUAAGAAUAAGACACCGGCUAACUACGUCGCC
RNAcentral lists this ribosomal RNA (484 nucleotides) under uncultured bacterium. RNAcentral's name for it is "bacterial SSU rRNA". It matches the Rfam family "Bacterial small subunit ribosomal RNA", at positions 30 to 509 of the family's 1533-position model. The record is from RNAcentral.